UACGUAGGGGGCAAGCGUUGUCCGGAAUCAUUGGGCGUAAAGAGCGUGUAGGCGGCCCGAUAAGUCCGCUGUGAAAGUCCAGGGCUCAACCCUGGAAUGCCGGUGGAUACUGUCGGGCUAGAGUGCGGAAGAGGCGAGUGGAAUUCCUGGUGUAGCGGUGAAAUGCGCAGAUAUCAGGAGGAACACCCAUUGCGAAGGCAGCUCGCUGGGACGUAACUGACGCUGAGACGCGAAAGCGUGGGGAGCAAACAGG
Molecule: ribosomal RNA, 253 nt
Filed under: uncultured bacterium
Lineage: Bacteria
Description: partial 16S ribosomal RNA
Rfam family: Bacterial small subunit ribosomal RNA
Source: RNAcentral